Molecule: ribosomal RNA, 492 nt
Filed under: uncultured bacterium
Lineage: Bacteria
Description: partial 16S ribosomal RNA
Rfam family: Bacterial small subunit ribosomal RNA
Source: RNAcentral
AGUGAACGCUGGCGGUAGGCCUAACACAUGCAAGUCGAACGGCAGCACAGUAAGAGCUUGCUCUUACGGGUGGCGAGUGGCGGACGGGCGAGGAAUACAUCGGAAUCUACUUUUUCGCGGGGGAUAACGUAGGGAAACUUACGCUAAUACCGCAUACGACCUACGGGUGAAAGCAGGGGAUCUUCGGACCUUGCGCGAUUGAAUGAGCCGAUGUCGGAUUAGCUAGUUGGCGGGGUAAAGGCCCACCAAGGCGACGAUCCGUAGCUGGUCUGAGAGGAUGAUCAGCCACACUGGAACUGAGACACGGUCCAGACUCCUACGGGAGGCAGCAGUGGGGAAUAUUGGACAAUGGGCGCAAGCCUGAUCCAGCCAUACCGCGUGGGUGAAGAAGGCCUUCGGGUUGUAAAGCCCUUUUGUUGGGAAAGAAAAGCAGCAGGUUAAUACCCCGCUGUUCUGACGGUACCCAAAGAAUAAGCACCGGCUAACUUCGUG